Long non-coding RNA from Suricata suricatta (meerkat), 184 nucleotides. RefSeq lists it as uncharacterized. The transcript has 3 exons. NCBI's taxonomy places the organism in Eukaryota, Metazoa, Chordata, Mammalia, Carnivora, Herpestidae. The record is from RefSeq and is a predicted model, not a curated record.
UGUGGAAGGUAGAGAAAUUACCCACAAAGAUGGUCACAUUUUAAAAUAAACUCAUCUAGAAGCCACAACUCUGAUUUUGCCUGAGGCAGACUACCAACGGAACCUGAAACAUAUUACAAGCUCUUAGAAUUCUAUCUGGGGGCGCCUGGGUGGCUCAGUUGGUUAAGCCUCCGACUUCGGCUCA